RNAcentral lists this unclassified non-coding RNA (324 nucleotides) under Hevea brasiliensis (rubber tree). The record is from RNAcentral. Lineage: Eukaryota; Viridiplantae; Streptophyta; Magnoliopsida; Malpighiales; Euphorbiaceae.
UGAAAGAUGAAAAUAGCAUGGUAGGUUUUAAGGUUGAUUUGAUGCUGGAAAUGGUUUCUUUCACUAUCAAAAAGAAGAGAAACCAAUUCUGGAUAUUACAGGUCUCCAUUUUGAAUAGAGGGUACUUAUUGUAUUCUUUUGAAUCAAAUUCUGUUGGAUGUUCAGAGAAGCUUUUCAAUAGAAGCUCUUUUUGUGAAAGAAAACCUGUGAUUAGUGUUCUGAAUACUUGAAAAAAACUUCAAUUUUUCCCAUGGGGUGUGUUUUCCCAGCUAAAAUAAUUCCAUUAUGGAGAAAUAAAUACUUGAUUGAAAACCUGUGAUUAGU